RNAcentral lists this unclassified non-coding RNA (348 nucleotides) under Hevea brasiliensis (rubber tree). Lineage: Eukaryota; Viridiplantae; Streptophyta; Magnoliopsida; Malpighiales; Euphorbiaceae. The record is from RNAcentral.
UAUCUGCCUAAUAAGUCCAGUGGUUGAGCAGGUGAGCGCGAGCUUCUCUGUCUUCUGCUUCUUUUCUCCAGAAUUUGGCCUUUCAGCAAUCUCAGGGGUCGUUAAUUUCUCUUCUCACGGGGCUACAUAAUUUCUCUUCCUCAUCAUCACUGUUCGAGAGUUUGUACUUCAAAUUUUUACUUCGUUUUCCCAAUUUGCUCCACAUUUGAACCUGCACAAGCUGUUGGUUCGGAGAGGUUAAGAAGUGCUGCGAACUUGGGGUUGUUGAGUUGAAGUAAGGAGGGUUAGAAUAUUUUACAUCCAUGAGAAGAUCAGGUGUAAACCAACCAAAAGUCAAGCGUCUUGUUG